AUACGGAGGGUGCAAGCGUUGUCCGGAUUUACUGGGUUUAAAGGGUCCGUAGGCGGGUCUUUAAGUCAGUGGUGAAAUCCUACGGCUCAACCGUAGAACUGCCAUUGAUACUGAAGAUCUUGAGUAUAGUUGAGGUAGGUGGAAUUUAUGAUGUAGCGGUGAAAUGCAUAGAUAUCAUAAAGAACACCAAUUGCGAAGGCAGCUUACUAAACUAUUACUGACGCUCAGGGACGAAAGCGUGGGGAGCGAACAGGAUUAGAAACCCCAGUAGUCC
Molecule: ribosomal RNA, 274 nt
Filed under: uncultured bacterium
Lineage: Bacteria
Description: partial 16S ribosomal RNA
Rfam family: Bacterial small subunit ribosomal RNA
Source: RNAcentral